This 75-nucleotide transfer RNA is filed under the name Rattus norvegicus (Norway rat). It matches the Rfam family "tRNA". Rfam says of the family: Transfer RNA (tRNA) molecules are approximately 80 nucleotides in length. The record is from RNAcentral. Lineage: Eukaryota; Metazoa; Chordata; Mammalia; Rodentia; Muridae.
GGGGUUGGGGAUUUAGCUCAGUGGUAGAGCGCUUGCCUAGGAAGCGCAAGGCCCUGGGUUCGGUCCCCAGCUCCG